ACGAACGCUGGCGGCGUGCCUAACACAUGCAAGUCGAGCGAGGAGAUCCUUCGGGAUGAUCCUAGCGGCGGACGGGUGAGUAACACGUGGGCAACCUGCCUCAUAGAGAGGAAUAGCCUUCCGAAAGGGAGAUUAAUACCUCAUAACAUUGCAGUUUCGCAUGGAACAGCAAUUAAAGGAGCAAUCCGCUAUGAGAUGGGCCCGCGGCGCAUUAGCUAGUUGGUGAGGUAACGGCUCACCAAGGCGACGAUGCGUAGCCGACCUGAGAGGGUGAUCGGCCACAUUGGGACUGAGACACGGCCCAGACUCCUACGGGAGGCAGCAGUGGGGAAUAUUGCACAAUGGGGGAAACCCUGAUGCAAGCAACGCCGCGUGAGUGAUGACGGCCUUCGGGUUGUAAAGCUCUGUCUUCAGGGACGAUAAUGACGGUACCUGAGGAGGAAGCCACGGCUAACUACGUGCCAGCAGCCGC
RNAcentral lists this ribosomal RNA (472 nucleotides) under uncultured bacterium. RNAcentral describes it as "bacterial SSU rRNA". It matches the Rfam family "Bacterial small subunit ribosomal RNA", at positions 29 to 518 of the family's 1533-position model. The record is from RNAcentral.